Molecule: small nuclear RNA, 18 nt
Filed under: Arabidopsis thaliana (thale cress)
Lineage: Eukaryota; Viridiplantae; Streptophyta; Magnoliopsida; Brassicales; Brassicaceae
Description: snRNA_12186
Source: RNAcentral
AAGCUCGUUUGAUUCUGA